GGCCCUACGGGGCGCAGCAGGCGCGAAAACUGUACAAUGCGCGAAAGCGCGAUACGGGGAGCCUGAGUGCCUUAACAUUUGUUAAGGCUUUUCACAAGCCUAAAAAGCUUGUGGAAUAAGAACUGGGUAAGACGGGUGCCAGCCGCCGCGGUAACACCCGCGGUUCGAGUGGUAGUCACUUUUAUUGAGCCUAAAGCGUUCGUAGCCGGAUUCGUAAAUCUCUAGGAAAAUCCUUCUGCCCAACAGAAGAAAUUCUGGAGAGACUGCGAAUCUAGGGACCGGGUGAGGUUGAAUGUACUUCUGGGGUAGGGGUAAAAUCCUGUAAUCCUGGAAGGACGACCGGUGGCGAAGGCGUUCAACUAGAACGGAUCCGACGGUGAGGAACGAAGGCUAGGGGAGCAAACCGGAUUAGAUACCCGGGUAGUCCUAGCUGUAAACACUGACCCACUUGGUGUUGCAUCUCCGGUAAGGGGGUGC
Molecule: ribosomal RNA, 477 nt
Filed under: uncultured archaeon
Lineage: Archaea
Description: bacterial SSU rRNA
Rfam family: Archaeal small subunit ribosomal RNA
Source: RNAcentral